AUUGAACGCUGGCGGCAUGCCUUACACAUGCAAGUCGAACGGUAACAGGUCUUCGGAUGCUGACGAGUGGCGAACGGGUGAGUAAUACAUCGGAACGUGCCUAGUAGUGGGGGAUAACUACUCGAAAGAGUGGCUAAUACCGCAUGAGAUCUACGGAUGAAAGCAGGGGAUCGCAAGACCUUGUGCUACUAGAGCGGCCGAUGGCAGAUUAGGUAGUUGGUGGGAUAAAAGCUUACCAAGCCGACGAUCUGUAGGUGGUCUGAGAGGACGAUCAGCCACACUGGGACUGAGACACGGCCCAGACUCCUACGGGAGGCAGCAGUGGGGAAUUUUGGACAAUGGGCGCAAGCCUGAUCCAGCAAUGCCGCGUGCAGGAUGAAGGCCUUCGGGUUGUAAACUGCUUUUGUACGGAGCGAAAAGCCCUGGGUUAAUACCCUGGGGUCAUGACGGUACCGUAAGAAUAAGCACCGGCUAACUACGUGCCAGCCGCCGCCGUAA
RNAcentral lists this ribosomal RNA (498 nucleotides) under uncultured bacterium. RNAcentral describes it as "partial 16S ribosomal RNA". It matches the Rfam family "Bacterial small subunit ribosomal RNA", at positions 30 to 523 of the family's 1533-position model. The record is from RNAcentral.